CCUACGGGAGGCAGCAGUGAGGAAUAUUGGUCAAUGGGCGCUAGCCUGAACCAGCCAAGCAGCGUGAAGGAUGACUGCCUUAUGGGUUGUAACCUUCUUUUAUAUGGGAAUAAAGUGCAGUAUGUAUACUGCUUUGCAUGUACCUUAUGAAUCAGGAUCGGCUAACUCCGUGCCAGCAGCCGCGGUAAUACGGAGGAUCCGAGCGUUAUCCGGAUUUAUUGGGUUUAAAGGGAGCGUAGGCGGGUUGUUAAGUCAGUUGUGAAAGUUUGCGGCUCAACCGUAAAAUUGCAGUUGAUACUGGCAUCCUUGAGUAUAGUAGAGGUAGGCGGAAUUCGUGGUGUAGCGGUGAAAUGCGUAGAGAUCACGAAGAACACCGAUUGCGAAGGCAGCCUGCUGGACUGUAACUGACGCUGAUGCUCGAAAGUGUGGGGAUCAAACAGGAUUAGAUACCCCGGUAGUC
RNAcentral lists this ribosomal RNA (460 nucleotides) under uncultured bacterium. Its description in RNAcentral is "partial 16S ribosomal RNA". It matches the Rfam family "Bacterial small subunit ribosomal RNA", at positions 338 to 795 of the family's 1533-position model. The record is from RNAcentral.